CGCGUAGGCGGGAUGGCAAGUCGGUCGUGAAAUCCUUCGGCUCAACCGAAGAACGUCGGCCGAUACUGCCGUUCUUGAGGGAUGCAGAGGAGACUGGAAUUCCCGGUGUAGCGGUGAAAUGUGUAGAGAUCGGGAGGAACACCGGUGGCGAAGGCGGGUCUCUGGGCAUCUCCUGACGCUGAGGCGCGAAAGCGUGGGGAGCAAAACGGGAUUAGGAUACCCCGGUAGUCCACGCCAUAAACGAUGACGACUAGGUGUGGGGUGGUUCAGUCCACUCCGUGCCGCAGCUAACGCAUUAAGUCGUCCGCCUGGGGAGUACGGCCGCAAGGUUGAAA
RNAcentral lists this ribosomal RNA (335 nucleotides) under uncultured bacterium. RNAcentral's name for it is "bacterial SSU rRNA". It matches the Rfam family "Bacterial small subunit ribosomal RNA", at positions 568 to 899 of the family's 1533-position model. The record is from RNAcentral.